CUAUUUACCUGGCAAGGGUGAUUCCAUGAUUACGAAGGUGGUUUCCCCAGAGUGAGGCUUACCCAUUGCACUUCGGAUGAGCUGACCCCUGCGAUUUCCCCAAAUGUGGGAAACUCGACUGUAUAGUUUUUGGUAGUGGGGGACUGCGUUCGCGCUCUUCUGUG
This 164-nucleotide small nuclear RNA is filed under the name Vombatus ursinus (common wombat). RNAcentral's name for it is "U1 spliceosomal RNA (ENSVURG00010012447.1)". It matches the Rfam family "U1 spliceosomal RNA". Rfam says of the family: U1 is a small nuclear RNA (snRNA) component of the spliceosome (involved in pre-mRNA splicing). Its 5' end forms complementary base pairs with the 5' splice junction, thus defining the 5' donor site of an intron. The record is from Rfam by way of RNAcentral. Lineage: Eukaryota; Metazoa; Chordata; Mammalia; Diprotodontia; Vombatidae.